RNAcentral lists this ribosomal RNA (303 nucleotides) under uncultured Volvopluteus. RNAcentral's name for it is "SSU rRNA". It matches the Rfam family "Eukaryotic small subunit ribosomal RNA", at positions 1327 to 1650 of the family's 1831-position model. Lineage: Eukaryota; Fungi; Basidiomycota; Agaricomycetes; Agaricales; Pluteaceae. The record is from RNAcentral.
GAUAACCGAAAGAGACCUUAACCUGUUAAAUAGCCAGGCCGGCUUUGGUUGGUCGCCGGUUUUUUAGAGGGACUGUCGGCGUCUAGCCGACGGAAGUUUGAGGCAAUAACAGGUCUGUGAUGCCCUUAGAUGUUUUGGGCCGCACGCGCGCUACACUGACAGAGCCAGCGAGUUUUUCACCUUGGCCGGAAGGUCUGGGUAAUCUUGUGAAACUCUGUCGUGCUGGGGAUAGAGCAUUGCAAUUAUUGCUCUUCAACGAGGAAUACCUAGUAAGCGUGAGUCAUCAGCUCGCGUUGAUUACGU